UACGUAGGGGGCAAGCGUUGUCCGGAUUUAUUGGGCGUAAAGCGCGUGUAGGCGGCUUCGUAAGUUGGAUGUGAAAUCCCACGGCUCAACCGUGGACGUGCAUCCAAAACUACGUCGCUGGAGUCUCGGAGAGGAAGGUGGAAUGCUUGGUGUAGAGGUGAAAUUCGUAGAUAUCAAGCAGAACACCUGCGGCGAAGGCGGCCUUCUGGACGAUGACUGACGCUGAGACGCGAAAGCGUGGGGAGCAAACAGG
This 253-nucleotide ribosomal RNA is filed under the name uncultured bacterium. Its description in RNAcentral is "partial 16S ribosomal RNA". It matches the Rfam family "Bacterial small subunit ribosomal RNA", at positions 524 to 776 of the family's 1533-position model. The record is from RNAcentral.